AACGAACGCUGGCGGCAUGCCUAACACAUGCAAGUCGAACGAGAUCUUCGGGUCUAGUGGCGCACGGGUGCGUAACGCGUGGGAAUCUGCCCUUUGGUUCGGAAUAACAGUUGGAAACGACUGCUAAUACCGGAUGAUGACGAAAGUCCAAAGAUUUAUCGCCAGAGGAUGAGCCCGUGUAGGAUUAGCUAGUUGGUGUGGUAAAGGCGCACCAAGACGACGAUCCUUAGCUGGUCUGAGAGGAUGAUCAGCCACACUGGGACUGAGACACGGCCCAGACUCCUACGGGAGGCAGCAGUGGGGAAUAUUGGACAAUGGGCGAAAGCCUGAUCCAGCAAUGCCGCGUGAGUGAUGAAGGCCUUAGGGUUGUAAAGCUCUUUUACCCGGGAUGAUAAUGACAGUACCGGGAGAAUAAGCUCCGGCUAACUCCGUGCCAGCCGCCGCAGUAA
This 449-nucleotide ribosomal RNA is filed under the name uncultured bacterium. Its description in RNAcentral is "partial 16S ribosomal RNA". It matches the Rfam family "Bacterial small subunit ribosomal RNA", at positions 29 to 523 of the family's 1533-position model. The record is from RNAcentral.